This is a long non-coding RNA of Pan troglodytes (chimpanzee), 1029 nucleotides long. RefSeq lists it as uncharacterized. The record is from RefSeq and is a predicted model, not a curated record. NCBI's taxonomy places the organism in Eukaryota, Metazoa, Chordata, Mammalia, Primates, Hominidae. The transcript is spliced from 3 exons.
CUGGGAUAUACGCACAAAGAUCCAUGUGCCAGGAUAUGUGUUGGAGGAUUUAUAUUUGGAGAAAAUUAAAUGCGCAAUGAGAGGUGCUGUUAUUAUUCCCACUUUACAGAGGGGAAGGCUGAAGCUCAAAGAAGCAAGGCAACUCUCUGGAGUCACAGAAGUGAUAAACUGAGGAGCUGGAAUUCCAGAGUCCAAGCUGGUGACGAGCACGGUGAACUCCUCUUCUCUGGCCACCACCCUACUCUACAACAAAGUCUACAAAUUAUGGCCACGGCCAGAUCCAGCUGGCCACCUGUUUCUGUGCUGUUCCCAAGGAAGUACGGGACGGAAAUUAAAGAAGAAAAUGGUUCCACAGGUUUGGUGGCUACAAAAAGAUUUCCUCGAUAAACACUGCCCGCAGUCACUCAUUUGUGAAAGCUGCAUGAUGUGAAAUUAAACUCGGGCAGAGGUGCUGUGGGUGAUGAUGUCUUGGUGGCUUGGGGAAAUGAAAGCCAUUCAUCUCAGGCAAAUGUGACAGGCAGGACCAUUGGCUUUCCGUCACCUAUGGGCUGCCUUCUCAUGGCAGUGGCCUAUGCAGGCCUUACGUUUUUGCAGCAAAUUUGUAAUGAACCAAUCAGUGGCCUUCAUGUCAGGCAACCUAGGAAGGUUUUGGAAGUGGGACUAUUUGCCCCACUGUUGGUGAGUAUUAGAUAUCCCUUUAGGAAGGUUCAAGAGCCCAUGCUGGCCAGGCGCGGUGGCUCAUGCCCGUAAUCCCAGCACUUUGGGAGGUCGAGGUGGGCAGAUCACUUGAGGUUAGGAAUUCAAGACCAGCCUGGACAACAUAGCAAGACCCCAUCUCUACUAAAAAUACAAAAAUUAGCUGGAUAUGGGGGUGGGCGUCUGUAGUCCCAGCUACGUGGGAGGUUGAGGCAGGAGAAUCUCUUGAACCGGGGAGGUGGAGGUUCCAGUAGAGCCAAGAUUGCACCACUGCAUGCCAGCCUGGCAGCAGAGUGAGACUGUGUCUCACAACACACACACACACACACACAC